This 571-nucleotide ribosomal RNA is filed under the name Flavobacterium sp. B268_2. RNAcentral describes it as "bacterial SSU rRNA". It matches the Rfam family "Bacterial small subunit ribosomal RNA", at positions 184 to 754 of the family's 1533-position model. Lineage: Bacteria; Pseudomonadati; Bacteroidota; Flavobacteriia; Flavobacteriales; Flavobacteriaceae. The record is from RNAcentral.
UUUCGCAUGAAACCACUAUUAAAGUCACAACGGUGAAAGAUGAGCAUGCGUCCCAUUAGCUAGUUGGUAAGGUAACGGCUUACCAAGGCAACGAUGGGUAGGGGUCCUGAGAGGGAGAUCCCCCACACUGGUACUGAGACACGGACCAGACUCCUACGGGAGGCAGCAGUGAGGAAUAUUGGACAAUGGGCGCAAGCCUGAUCCAGCCAUGCCGCGUGCAGGAUGACGGUCCUAUGGAUUGUAAACUGCUUUUAUACGAGAAGAAACCCUCCGACGUGUCGGAGCUUGACGGUAUCGUAAGAAUAAGGAUCGGCUAACUCCGUGCCAGCAGCCGCGGUAAUACGGAGGAUCCAAGCGUUAUCCGGAAUCAUUGGGUUUAAAGGGUCCGUAGGCGGUCAGGUAAGUCAGUGGUGAAAGCCCAUCGCUCAACGGUGGAACGGCCAUUGAUACUGUCUGACUUGAAUUAUUAGGAAGUAACUAGAAUAUGUAGUGUAGCGGUGAAAUGCUUAGAGAUUACAUGGAAUACCAAUUGCGAAGGCAGGUUACUACUAAUGGAUUGACGCUGAUGGAC